GACGAACGCUGGCGGCGUGCUUAACACAUGCAAGUCGAACGGAAAGGCCCUGCUUUUGUGGGGUGCUCGAGUGGCGAACGGGUGAGUAACACGUGAGUAACCUGCCCUUGACUUUGGGAUAACUUCAGGAAACUGGGGCUAAUACCGGAUAGGCGCUCCUGCUGCAUGGUGGGGGUUGGAAAGUUUCGGCGGUUGGGGAUGGACUCGCGGCUUAUCAGCUUGUUGGUGGGGUAGUGGCUUACCAAGGCUUUGACGGGUAGCCGGCCUGAGAGGGUGACCGGCCACAUUGGGACUGAGAUACGGCCCAGACUCCUACAGGAGGCAGCAGUGGGGAAUAUUGCACAAUGGGCGGAAGCCUGAUGCAGCAACGCCGCGUGCGGGAUGAAGGCCUUCGGGUUGUAAACCGCUUUCGCCUGUGACGAAGCGUGAGUGACGGUAAUGGGUAAAGAAGCACCGGCUAACUACGUG
RNAcentral lists this ribosomal RNA (468 nucleotides) under uncultured bacterium. Its description in RNAcentral is "partial 16S ribosomal RNA". It matches the Rfam family "Bacterial small subunit ribosomal RNA", at positions 28 to 507 of the family's 1533-position model. The record is from RNAcentral.